AGCUUUAAUAUAUCUUUAUUUGAAAUUGAACCUGUUUAGCAUGUAGUGAACUUUACACUUGUACACUAUUUAAAUAUAACAUAAUUAAUUGCACAUUUUUGCCAAAUUCACUGUUGUUUCUCCCUAGCAACAUAUCUGUGCCCAUGGCAACCGCGAUUUGUUUUCUAUUUACAAGAUUUAAUUUUAAAUAUAUUGAAACAGAAAGGCAAUUUAAGAUGUAAAUUGUAAAAAGAAACGAACUCCAAGGUAAAUAUUAAGAGGGAAAGCAAUAUUGAAACAGGAACAAACAAAACAAAACACCGGGUCUUGCUGAUAUAAACAGAUUGUGCAUCUGAUGCUGGGUUGGGUCUCCCUUAUCAGCGACAAGAAGAAUGAUAUAAAGGCAAGACACAUUAAGCGCUAAGAAAUCUUAAUAUUGAUUAUCUUAAAUAAAUACAGACA
This 441-nucleotide long non-coding RNA is filed under the name Mytilus galloprovincialis (Mediterranean mussel). Lineage: Eukaryota; Metazoa; Mollusca; Bivalvia; Mytilida; Mytilidae. The record is from RNAcentral.